UACGGGGGGGGCAAGCGUUGUUCGGCAUUACUGGGCGUAAAGGGCUCGUAGGUGGCCAACUAAGUCAGACGUGAAAUCCCUCGGCUUAACCGGGGAACUGCGUCUGAUACUGGAUGGCUAGAGUUUGGGAGAGGGAUGCGGAAUUCCAGGUGUAGCGGUGAAAUGCGUAGAUAUCUGGAGGAACACCGGUGGCGAAGGCGGCAUCCUGGACCAACACUGACGCUGAGGAGCGAAAGCCAGGGGAGCAAACGGG
RNAcentral lists this ribosomal RNA (253 nucleotides) under uncultured bacterium. Its description in RNAcentral is "partial 16S ribosomal RNA". It matches the Rfam family "Bacterial small subunit ribosomal RNA", at positions 524 to 776 of the family's 1533-position model. The record is from RNAcentral.